GACGGAGGGUGCUAGCGUUAUUCGGAAUUAUUGGGCGUAAAGGGUGUGCCGGCGGUCGGUCAAGUCAGAUGUGAAAGCCCGGGGCUCAACCUCGGAAGUGCAUUUGAAACUGGUCGACUUGAGUUCGGGAGAGGGAAGCGGAAUUCCGGGUGUAGAGGUGAAAUUCGUAGAUAUCCGGAGGAACACCGGUGGCGAAGGCGGCUUCCUGGCCCGAAACUGACGCUGAGACACGAAAGCGUGGGGAGCAAAUAGG
Molecule: ribosomal RNA, 253 nt
Filed under: uncultured bacterium
Lineage: Bacteria
Description: partial 16S ribosomal RNA
Rfam family: Bacterial small subunit ribosomal RNA
Source: RNAcentral